This 484-nucleotide ribosomal RNA is filed under the name uncultured bacterium. RNAcentral's name for it is "partial 16S ribosomal RNA". It matches the Rfam family "Bacterial small subunit ribosomal RNA", at positions 30 to 507 of the family's 1533-position model. The record is from RNAcentral.
AUUGAACGCUGGCGGCAGGCCUAACACAUGCAAGUCGAGCGGAUGAAGGGAGCUUGCUCCUGGAUUCAGCGGCGGACGGGUGAGUAAUGCCUAGGAAUCUGCCUGGUAGUGGGGGAUAACGUCCGGAAACGGGCGCUAAUAACGCAUACGUCCUGAGGGAGAAAGUGGGGGAUCUUCGGACCUCACGCUCUCAGAUGAGCCUAGGUCGGAUUAGCUAGGUGGUGGGGUAAAGGCCUACCAAGGCGACGAUCCGUAACUGGUCUGUGAGGAUGAUUAGUCACAUGGGAACUGGGACACGGUCCAGACUCCUAAGGGAGGCAGCAGUGGGGAAUAUUGGACAAUGGGCGAGAGCCUGAUACAGCCAUGCCGCGUGUGUGAAGAAGAUCUUCGGAUUGUAAAGCACUUUAAGUUGGGAGGAAGGGCAGUAAGUUAAUACCUUGCUGUUUUGACGUUACCAACAGAAUAAGCACCGGCUAACUUCGUG